RNAcentral lists this transfer RNA (87 nucleotides) under Clostridium gasigenes. RNAcentral describes it as "tRNA-Leu". It matches the Rfam family "tRNA". Rfam says of the family: Transfer RNA (tRNA) molecules are approximately 80 nucleotides in length. Their secondary structure includes four short double-helical elements and three loops (D, anti-codon, and T loops). Lineage: Bacteria; Bacillati; Bacillota; Clostridia; Eubacteriales; Clostridiaceae. The record is from RNAcentral.
GCUGGAGUGGCGGAACUGGCAGACGCACAGGACUUAAAAUCCUGCGGUAGUGAUACCGUACCGGUUCAAUUCCGGUCUUCAGCACCA